AUAGUGUGAACGCAUAGUGUGAAC
Molecule: non-coding RNA, 24 nt
Filed under: Arabidopsis thaliana (thale cress)
Lineage: Eukaryota; Viridiplantae; Streptophyta; Magnoliopsida; Brassicales; Brassicaceae
Source: RNAcentral